ACUGGCUCAGGAUGAACGCUAGCGACAGGCCUAACACAUGCAAGUCAGGGGCAGCACAAGGAGCAAUCUGAGGUGGCGACCGGCGCACGGGUGAGUAACACGUAUGCAACCUGCCUGUAAGCGGGGAAUAACCCGUUGAAAGACGGACUAAUACCGCAUAAUACUAAAUUACUGCAUGGUAAUUUAUUUAAACAUUUAUGGCUUACAGAUGGGCAUGCGCAUGAUUAGCUAGUUGGAGAGGUAACGGCUCCCCAAGGCAACGAUCAUUAGGGGUUCUGAGAGGAAGGUCCCCCCACGCUGGUACUGAGACACGGACCAGACUCCUACGGGAGGCAGCAGUGAGGAAUAUUGGUCAAUGGACGAGAGUCUGAACCAGCCAAGUCGCGUGCAGGAAGAAAAUGUCCUAUGGAUUGUAAACUGCUUUUGCAGGGGAAUAAAGUGCAUCACGUGUGAUGUUUUGUAUGUACUCUGCGAAUAAGGAUCGGCUAACUCCGUGCCAGCCGCCGC
Molecule: ribosomal RNA, 507 nt
Filed under: uncultured bacterium
Lineage: Bacteria
Description: bacterial SSU rRNA
Rfam family: Bacterial small subunit ribosomal RNA
Source: RNAcentral